Molecule: ribosomal RNA, 359 nt
Filed under: uncultured bacterium
Lineage: Bacteria
Description: partial 16S ribosomal RNA
Rfam family: Bacterial small subunit ribosomal RNA
Source: RNAcentral
UGGGGAAUUUUGGACAAUGGGGGCAACCCUGAUCCAGCCAUCCCGCGUGUGCGAUGAAGGCCUUCGGGUUGUAAAGCACUUUUGGCAGGGAAGAAACAGCCUGGGAUAAUACCCCGGGCGACUGACGGUACCUGCAGAAUAAGCACCGGCUAACUACGUGCCAGCAGCCGCGGUAAUACGUAGGGUGCAAGCGUUAAUCGGAAUUACUGGGCGUAAAGCGUGCGCAGGCGGUUCGGAAAGAAAGAUGUGAAAUCCCAGAGCUUAACUUUGGAACUGCAUUUUUAACUACCGGGCUAGAGUGUGUCAGAGGGAGGUGGAAUUCCGCGUGUAGCAGUGAAAUGCGUAGAUAUGCGGAGGAA